Molecule: ribosomal RNA, 371 nt
Filed under: uncultured organism
Description: partial 16S ribosomal RNA
Rfam family: Bacterial small subunit ribosomal RNA
Source: RNAcentral
GUAGGUGGCAAGCGUUGUCCGGAAUUAUUGGGCGUAAAGCGCGCGCAGGCGGUUCUUUAAGUCUGAUGUGAAAGCUCACGGCUCAACCGUGGAGGGUCAUUGGAAACUGGAGAACUUGAGUACAGAAGAGGAAAGCGGAAUUCCACGUGUAGCGGUGAAAUGCGUAGAGAUGUGGAGGAACACCAGUGGCGAAGGCGGCUUUCUGGUCUGUAACUGACGCUGAGGCGCGAAAGCGUGGGGAGCAAACAGGAUUAGAUACCCUGGUAGUCCACGCCGUAAACGAUGAGUGCUAAGUGUUAGGGGGUUUCCGCCCCCCUUAGUGCUGCAGCUAACGCAUUAAGCACUCCGCCUGGGAUACGGCCGCAAGGCUG